RNAcentral lists this ribosomal RNA (400 nucleotides) under uncultured bacterium. RNAcentral describes it as "bacterial SSU rRNA". It matches the Rfam family "Bacterial small subunit ribosomal RNA", at positions 380 to 796 of the family's 1533-position model. The record is from RNAcentral.
ACCCUGAUGCAGCAACGCCNCGUGAGUGAUGACGGUCUUCGGAUUGUAAAGCUCUGUCUUCAGGGACGAUAAUGACGGUACCUGAGGAGGAAGCCACGGCUAACUACGUGCCAGCAGCCGCGGUAAUACGUAGGUGGCAAGCGUUGUCCGGAUUUACUGGGCGUAAAGGGAGCGUAGGUGGAUAUUUAAGUGGGAUGUGAAAUACUCGGGCUUAACCCGGGUGCUGCAUUCCAAACUGGAUAUCUAGAGUGCAGGAGAGGAAAGUAGAAUUCCUAGUGUAGCGGUGAAAUGCGUAGAGAUUAGGAAGAAUACCAGUGGCGAAGGCGACUUUCUGGACUGUAACUGACACUGAGGCUCGAAAGCGUGGGGGAGCAAACAGGAUUAGAUACCCUGGUAGUCC